AGCCGUGUGCCCGAGUGGUUGAGGGACUCGCCUGCAAAGCGGGUUACGCCGGUUCGAUUCCGGUCACGGCUUCGA
RNAcentral lists this transfer RNA (75 nucleotides) under Streptomyces sp. MBRL 10. RNAcentral describes it as "tRNA-Cys". It matches the Rfam family "tRNA". From Rfam's summary of the family: Transfer RNA (tRNA) molecules are approximately 80 nucleotides in length. Their secondary structure includes four short double-helical elements and three loops (D, anti-codon, and T loops). The record is from RNAcentral. Lineage: Bacteria; Bacillati; Actinomycetota; Actinomycetes; Kitasatosporales; Streptomycetaceae.